Non-coding RNA from Paramuricea clavata, 160 nucleotides. The record is from the annotation of a GenBank genome assembly. NCBI's taxonomy places the organism in Eukaryota, Metazoa, Cnidaria, Anthozoa, Malacalcyonacea, Plexauridae.
GUUUUGCAUAGCCUCUUCCGCAGGCAUCUCAUAAUCGUCGAGAACUUAUAUAAUUUAGUUAUUCAAAUAACUGAUGUUUUUCUGAUUGGGUUGAAUAACUAAAUUAUAUAGGUUCUCGACGAUUAAGAGAUGCCUGCGGAGGAGGCUAUGUUUUGCAAAC